AGCAACCCGGAGAACUGAAACAUCUAAGUACCCGGAGGAGAAGAAAACAAAAGUGAUCCCGAUAGUAGCGGCGAGCGAAAUUGGAUUAGCCCAAACCAGUGUUGUUACGGCAAUACUGGGGUUGUAGGACCACGACAUUAGAAGCAUGAUGAAUUAGAACCCUUUGGAAAGAGGGGCCAUAGACGGUGAUAGCCCGGUAUAAGUAAAGAAUGUGGACAUAGUGGUAUCCUGAGUAGUGCGGGGCACGUGAAACCCUGUAUGAAACAGUCGGGACCAUCCGAUAAGGCUAAAUACUCCUGAGAGACCGAUAGUGAACUAGUACCGUGAGGGAAAGGUGAAAAGAACCCUGAAUAAGGGAGUGAAAUAGAACCUGAAACCAUACGCUUACAAGCGGUCGGAGCAGACUUGAUCUGUGACGACGUGCCUUUUGCAUAAUGAGCCUACGAGUUACCGUUGCUAGCAAGGUUAAGCACUUCAGGUGCGGAUCCGUAGCGAAAGCGAGUCUGAAUAGGGCGCUUAGUUAGUAGUGGUAGACGCGAAACCGUGUGAUCUACCCAUGGGCAGGUUGGAGCAGUAGUAACAUACUGUGGAGGACCGAACGGAUAUACGUUGAAAAGUGUUCCGAUGACCUGUGGGUAGGGGUGAA
This 646-nucleotide ribosomal RNA is filed under the name uncultured bacterium. RNAcentral describes it as "bacterial LSU rRNA". It matches the Rfam family "Bacterial large subunit ribosomal RNA", at positions 179 to 825 of the family's 2925-position model. The record is from RNAcentral.